Small nucleolar RNA from Diachasmimorpha longicaudata, 83 nucleotides. NCBI's taxonomy places the organism in Eukaryota, Metazoa, Arthropoda, Insecta, Hymenoptera, Braconidae. The record is from RefSeq and is a predicted model, not a curated record.
GUCAUGUGAUGAAUUGCCAUGCUAAUACUGAGGGAUCUGCAGGAUCUCGCUGAGUUGAAAAUACUUUAGAAAAACUGAUGAUC